Molecule: ribosomal RNA, 1214 nt
Filed under: metagenome
Description: bacterial SSU rRNA
Rfam family: Bacterial small subunit ribosomal RNA
Source: RNAcentral
GCUGGCGGCGUGCUUAACACAUGCGAGUCGAACGCGAAAUCCGUAGCUUGCUAUGGAGAGUAGAGUGGCGCACGGGUGAGUAACGCGUGGGUAAUCUACCCUUGAAUUUGGGAUAACUUACCGAAAGGUGGGCUAAUACCGGAUAAUAUCUUAGUGAUUUAGGUGAUUAAGAUCAAAGAUAGCCUCUGUUUCAAGCUAUUGUUUGGGGAUGAGCCCGCGUACCAUUAGCUAGUUGGUAGGGUAAAGGCUUACCAAGGCUUCGAUGGUUAGCUGGUCUGAGAGGAUGAUCAGCCACACUGGAACUGACACACGGUCCAGACUCCUACGGGAGGCAGCAGUGAGGAAUUUUGCGCAAUGGGGGAAACCCUGACGCAGCAACGCCGCGUGAGUGAUGAAGGUUUUCGGAUCGUAAAGCUCUGUCAAGUGGGAAGAAGUUAUAUAUCAUUAAUAGUGAUAUAUAUUGACGGUACCACUGAAGGAAGCACCGGCUAACUCCGUGCCAGCACCCGCGGUAAUACGGGGGGUGCAAGCGUUAUUCGGAAUUAUUGGGCGUAAAGGGCGCGUAGGCUGCUUUAUAAGUCAGAUGUGAAAGCCCGGGGCUUAACCCCGGAAGUGCAUUUGAAACUAUAAGGCUUGAGUAUGGUAGAGGGAAGUGGAAUUCCUGGUGUAGAGGUGAAAUUCGUAGAUAUCAGGAGGAACACCGGUGGCGAAGGCGACUUCCUGGACCAAUACUGACGCUGAUGCGCGAAGGCGUGGGUAGCAAACAGGAUUAGAUACCCUGGUAGUCCACGCAGUAAACGUUGAACACUAGGUGUAGCGGGUAUUGACCCCUGCUGUGCCGCAGUUAACGCAUUAAGUGUUCCGCCUGGGGAGUACGGCCGCAAGGCUAAAACUCAAAGGAAUUGACGGGGGCCCGCACAAGCGGUGGAGCAUGUGGUUUAAUUCGACGCAACGCGAAGAACCUUACCUGGAUUUGACAUCCUGGGAAUCUUUUAGAAAUAAGAGAGUGCCUUUCGGGGAGCCCAGUGACAGGUGCUGCAUGGCUGUCGUCAGCUCGUGUCGUGAGAUGUUGGGUUAAGUCCCGCAACGAGCGCAACCCCUAUCUUUAGUUACCAUCAUUUAGUUGGGGACUCUAGAGAUACUGCCCCGGUUAACGGGGAGGAAGGUGGGGAUGACGUCAAGUCCUCAUGGCCUUUAUAUCCAGGGCUACACAC